Molecule: small RNA, 257 nt
Filed under: Pongo abelii (Sumatran orangutan)
Lineage: Eukaryota; Metazoa; Chordata; Mammalia; Primates; Hominidae
Description: sense intronic
Source: RNAcentral
GGAAAGAAACAUCAUUAAACACCAUUAAGUUGCAGUGAGCCGAGAUCGUACCACUGUACUCCAUCCUGGGGACAGAACGAGACUCCGUCUCAAAAAGAAAAAAAAAAAAGAAUAUUAUCUUUUGUUGAGGGGACAGGAGGAGAGAAGGUGCCUUGUGGGGCUGGUGUCGCCUUUAGCAGUGGACUGUUGGCUGUCCUGGGGAGAUGGGGAAUUCAGCACAGUGCAGGCAGCAGCAAGGGAAGGAGCUGGAGCUGGAC